GAUGAACGCUGGCGGCGUGCCUAAUACAUGCAAGUCGAGCGAAUGGAUUAAGAGCUUGCUCUUAUGAAGUUAGCGGCGGACGGGUGAGUAACACGUGGGUAACCUGCCCAUAAGACUGGGAUAACUCCGGGAAACCGGGGCUAAUACCGGAUAACAUUUUGAACCGCAUGGUUCGAAAUUGAAAGGCGGCUUCGGCUGCCCCUUAUGGAUGGACCCGCGGAGCAUUAGCUAGUUGGUGAGGUAACGGCUCACCAAGGCAACGAUGCGUAGCCGACCUGAGAGGGUGAUCGGCCACACUGGGGCUGAGACACGGCCCAGACUCCUACGGGAGGCAGCAGUAGGGAAUCUUCCGCAAUGGACGAAAGUCUGACGGAGCAACGCCGCGUGAGUGAUGAAGGCUUUCGGGUCGUAAAACUCUGUUGUUAGGGAAGAACAAGUGCUAGUUGAAUAAGCUGACACCUUGACGGUACCUAACCAGAAAGCCACGGCUAACUACGUGCCAGCCGCCGCUGUAA
This 515-nucleotide ribosomal RNA is filed under the name uncultured bacterium. RNAcentral's name for it is "partial 16S ribosomal RNA". It matches the Rfam family "Bacterial small subunit ribosomal RNA", at positions 28 to 523 of the family's 1533-position model. The record is from RNAcentral.